UACGGGGGGGGCAAGCGUUGUUCGGAUUUAUUGGGCGUAAAGAGCGUGUAGGCGGCCAGGUAGGUCUGCUGUGAAAACUCGAGGCUUAACCUCGAGAUGUCGGCGGAAACCAUCUGGCUAGAGUCCGGAAGAGGAGAAUGGAAUUCCCGGUGUAGCGGUGAAAUGCGCAGAUAUCGGGAAGAACACCCGUGGCGAAGGCGGUUCUCUGGGACGGUACUGACGCUGAGACGCGAAAGCGUGGGGAGCGAACAGG
This 253-nucleotide ribosomal RNA is filed under the name uncultured bacterium. RNAcentral's name for it is "partial 16S ribosomal RNA". It matches the Rfam family "Bacterial small subunit ribosomal RNA", at positions 524 to 776 of the family's 1533-position model. The record is from RNAcentral.